This 537-nucleotide ribosomal RNA is filed under the name fungal endophyte. Its description in RNAcentral is "eukaryotic LSU rRNA". The stretch from base 198 to 351 matches the Rfam family "5.8S ribosomal RNA". Lineage: Eukaryota; Fungi. The record is from RNAcentral.
UCUCCGUAGGUGAACCUGCGGAGGGAUCAUUACACAAAUAUGAAGGCGGGCUGGAAUCUCUCGGGGUUACAGCCUUGCUGAAUUAUUCACCCUUGUCUUUUGCGUACUUCUUGUUUCCUUGGUGGGUUCGCCCACCACUAGGACAAACAUAAACCUUUUGUAAUUGCAAUCAGCGUCAGUAACAAAUUAAUAAUUACAACUUUCAACAACGGAUCUCUUGGUUCUGGCAUCGAUGAAGAACGCAGCGAAAUGCGAUAAGUAGUGUGAAUUGCAGAAUUCAGUGAAUCAUCGAAUCUUUGAACGCACAUUGCGCCCUUUGGUAUUCCAAAGGGCAUGCCUGUUCGAGCGUCAUUUGUACCCUCAAGCUUUGCUUGGUGUUGGGCGUCUUGUCUCUAGCUUUGCUGGAGACUCGCCUUAAAGUAAUUGGCAGCCGGCCUACUGGUUUCGGAGCGCAGCACAAGUCGCACUCUCUAUCAGCAAAGGUCUAGCAUCCAUUAAGCCUUUUUUCAACUUUGACCUCGGAUCAGGUGGGAUCCC